Molecule: ribosomal RNA, 468 nt
Filed under: uncultured bacterium
Lineage: Bacteria
Description: partial 16S ribosomal RNA
Rfam family: Bacterial small subunit ribosomal RNA
Source: RNAcentral
GACGAACGCUGGCGGCGUGCUUAACACAUGCAAGUCGAACGGAAAGGCCCUGCUUUUGUGGGGUGCUCGAGUGGCGAACGGGUGAGUAACACGUGAGUAACCUGCCCUUGACUUUGGGAUAACUUCAGGAAACUGUGGCUAAUACCGGAUAGGAGCUCCUCCUGCGUGGUGGGGGUUGGAAAGUUUCGGCGGUUGGGGAUGGACUCGCGGCUUAUCAGCUUGUUGGUGGGGUAGUGGCUUACCAAGGCUUUGACGGGUAGCCGGCCUGAGAGGGUGACCGGCCACAUUGGGACUGAGAUACGGCCCAGACUCCUACGGGAGGCAGCAGUGGGGAAUAUUGCACAAUGGGCGGAAGCCUGAUGCAGCAACGCCGCGUGCGGGAUGACGGCCUUCGGGUUGUAAACCGCUUUCGCCUGUGACGAAGCGUGAGUGACGGUAAUGGGUAAAGAAGCACCGGCUAACUACGUG